Molecule: unclassified non-coding RNA, 1332 nt
Filed under: uncultured fungus
Lineage: Eukaryota; Fungi
Description: sequence contains 18S rRNA gene, ITS1, 5.8S rRNA gene, ITS2, 28S rRNA gene
Source: RNAcentral
UGACUUCAGGCGGUCCGGGUUCGACCACCGAGGUCGCCUCGAUCACGUUGAAGCGCGAGGCUUUCGAGAAGUGGCGGACCGGCUUCUCGUCGGCAUUCGCCGUCAUUCUUUUCGUCACGGUGUUCGGCCUCGCCAACAUCUAUGUCAAGGCAUUGAACCGGGUGAGGCAGCGAUGAGCACUGGCAUCGUCACCGCCCACUCCGUCGUCGAGCCCAGUGGACGCGCCAAAACAGUUGCCGCGACCCUCGUCAUCGCCUACGCGGUGAUCUCGAUGAUCCCGCUUGCCUGGAUCCUUCUCACCGGCUUCAAGUCGCCUCCCGAUUCGAUCAGCUAUCCGCCCAAGGUGAUCUUCGAGCCGACGCUCGAGGGCUACUGCAAUCUCUUCACGACGCGCUCGCGGCAGACGGCCGAGUACAUGGCCACGCUGCCGCCGCCCGUCGGCACCUGCGAGGAGAUCGCGCGCGGCCGCAACAUGGUCAUUGCCGGCUCCUCCAACUAUGUGCCGCGCUUCAUCAACUCGCUUGUCAUCGCGUUCGGCUCGACGUUUUGCGCGGUCGCGCUGGGGACGCUGGCCGCCUACGGUUUCUCGCGUUUCAAGGUGCCGCUCGCCGACGACCUGCUGUUCUUCAUCCUGUCGACGCGCAUGAUGCCGCCGAUCGCCGUCGCCAUCCCGAUCUAUCUCAUGUACCGCGAGCUCGGACUCUCCGAUACGCGGCUCGGCAUGAUCCUGCUCUACACUUCGGUCAACGUCUCGCUCGCGGUCUGGCUGCUCAAGGGCUUUAUCGAUGAGAUCCCGCGCGAAUACGAGGAGGCGGCGAUGGUCGACGGCUACACGCGGUUUUCCAUGCGUUCUGGAAGGUGGUGUUGCCGCAGGCGACGACCGGCAUCGCGGCGACCGCCAUCUUCUGCCUCAUAUUUGCGUGGAACGAGUACGCCUUCGCCGUGCUUCUCACCUCGGGGGAGGCGCAGACAGCGCCGCCCUUCAUUCCCAUCAUUAUCGGCGAAGGCGGCCAGGAUUGGCCGGCCGUGGCGGCGGGAACGACGCUGUUCCUAGUGCCGAUCCUUGCUUUCACCGUGCUGCUGCGCCGGCACUUGUUGCGCGGCAUCACCUUCGGCGCGGUGCGCAAGUGACGCCCGCCGACGAUAUGGCACCCGGCACGGCGACCCGAAGCGCCGCGCAGCGCCGGUUUUUUCGCCGCGGACCGUGGGAGGCGGCGGCGAUCGGGCUGAUCAUCGCCGGCGUCGUCAUGCUGAUGCAGCCGUUCUCGCUAAGGCUCUACGGCUACUCGUUCGCGACGGUGCUGCUCGGCACGGUGAUGUUCAUCGUCGUCU